Molecule: ribosomal RNA, 497 nt
Filed under: uncultured bacterium
Lineage: Bacteria
Description: partial 16S ribosomal RNA
Rfam family: Bacterial small subunit ribosomal RNA
Source: RNAcentral
GAUGAACGCUGGCGGCGUGCCUAAUACAUGCAAGUCGAGCGAACAGACGAGGAGCUUGCUCCUCUGACGUUAGCGGCGGACGGGUGAGUAACACGUGGAUAACCUACCUAUAAGACUGGGAUAACUUCGGGAAACCGGCGCUAAUACCGCAUAAUAUAUUCAACCGCAUGGUUCAAUAGUGAAAGACGGUUUUGCUGUCACUUAUAGAUGGAUCCGCGCCGCAUUAGCUAGUUGGUAAGGUAACGGCUUACCAAGGCAACGAUUCGUAGCCGACCUGAGAGGGUGUUCGGCCACACUGGAACUGAGACACGGUCCAGACUCCUACGGGAAGCAGCAGUAGGGAAUCUUCCGCAAUGGGCGAAAGCUUGACGGAGCAACGCCGCGUGAGUGAUGAAGGUCUUCGGAUCGUAAAACUCUGUUAUUAGGGAAGAACAAAUGUGUAAGUAACUAUGCACGUCUUGACGGUACCUAAUCAGAAAGCCACGGCUAACUACGUG